AUCUAGUUUCAAAAUUUCAUAAAUAAAAAAAAUAAAAAUGCUAAGCACACCUACUAUUUUUCAAACAAAGUUCCAUCGUUUUUCACAUCUAGCAGCCGACAUGACAGCCGACUCGCAAUCGGACAAGUUUAUUGUGGAAGGGGACAAAGCUUAUGAUGGCAGUGUCCCCACGGACAAUGUAACAGGUAAUCCCCUUUAAAAACUUAUAUUAAGUAGAAUGUUGUUAAUUCUUACUAAUACGCUUCCAUUUUAAUAUAUGAAUGAAUGUUCUUUGAUGGGGGAACAAAUAUUAAGAUUAUAGAAUUUCUUGCUCUCCCCCAUCUGUAAUAUUGAAUUCGCCCAAGUGUUUACCUUGCUGUCGCCUUCUGUCGUAAAUCAUGACAAUCAACACAUUCCAGACUUCCUGUGUUCAUUCACAUUCCUAAAAUUUCCUUCACAACACCACUGCCAUCGAAAUGUUAUAUUAGGAACAUUUUCUGUUUACAUUUUAUCCUAAUUAGACCCAAUUUCCAUCACAGCGGUGCAGACAGUUCAGUCGCUGACCGAGUGGGCUUGGUCCGCUGUGGGGGUGUCAAGGGAGAAAGUGCAGGACUUGCUGACACGCCCUGACUUAACGGAUGACUGGUCACUGGAGGAGAUCAGCCAACCUGUCUUCCGCUCCUUGGGAUUCUGGAUGCUGGUUUGCCAGUGACCCAAUCCUGACCCAAUGUCUUUCGUUGUUGGAGCCCUCCCUGCAUUCAUACCGGUAACUCAAGGGAUGAGUCUACUGUGUGUUCAGUUUAGAUAUCAGCUAAAAUUAUCUAAAUUGGAAACAUGGUAUGCUCUUCUCUUACAACAAGUAACUGUUGUCGAAUAACAUUUCCCUCAUCCUUUUUACGGACCCAAGCUUGAAUAUUUAUUUGGCAAGAUUAAUCAUAUAUCCUCCAUGCUAGAUUUAUAAAGAUUGAUAAAGACAAUGCCUCAUGUGAACUAAUUCCAUGAUGUGCGAAGCACUCAAGCUCAUGUGAGGCACUGCCUUCAUCAGCUGACUAACGUCAACAAAAACAACUUAUUUUCUGAUAUAAUGUUUUUUGGUUGUGGGGUAUAUGCCUCAAAACUUAAGGAAUUAAGUUCCUUAUCAGACAUCAAACUUGUGAACUGGUUCCCCAUGUCCUGAAUGAAAUAUAAGCAAGGGUUGAUUUUAGCUUGUUGACUACUAUUUGUAUUAAUAAGCACUCUUGGACAUCACUUUGCACAUGUGAUUAUUUAUGUUACAAUCAUGAAUACAUUCUAUGUGUUGGUGUAAACUGUUUAGUCAUUGCUCUGCUUUUGUAGCUAUAUCAAUGAAUUAUAUAUCUCUAGUGAUUCAAUACUGAACAACAGCGUUAAAAAUGUGAAAACUGUGAUGAGAGAGUAUG
Long non-coding RNA from Haliotis rufescens (red abalone), 1397 nucleotides. RefSeq lists it as uncharacterized. NCBI's taxonomy places the organism in Eukaryota, Metazoa, Mollusca, Gastropoda, Lepetellida, Haliotidae. The transcript is spliced from 3 exons. The record is from RefSeq and is a predicted model, not a curated record.